UGAACGCUGGCGGCGUGCCUACUACAUGCAAGUCGAGCGAACAGAUACGGAGCUUGCUCCUUUGACGUUAGCGGCGGACGGGUGAGUAACACGUGGGUAACCUACCUAUAAGACUGGGAUAACUUCGGGAAACCGGAGCUAAUACCGGAUAACAUUUGGAACCGCAUGGUUCUAAAGUGAAAGAUGGUUUUGCUAUCACUUAUAGAUGGACCCGCGCCGUAUUAGCUAGUUGGUAAGGUAACGGCUUACCAAGGCAACGAUACGUAGCCGACCUGAGAGGGUGAUCGGCCACACUGGAACUGAGACACGGUCCAGACUCCUACGGGAGGCAGCAGUAGGGAAUCUUCCGCAAUGGGCGAAAGCCUGACGGAGCAACGCCGCGUGAGUGAUGAAGGGUUUCGGCUCGUAAAACUCUGUUAUUAGGGAAGAACAAAUGUGUAAGUAACUGUGCACGUCUUGACGGUACCUAAUCAGAAAGCCACGGCUAACUACGUG
RNAcentral lists this ribosomal RNA (495 nucleotides) under uncultured bacterium. Its description in RNAcentral is "partial 16S ribosomal RNA". It matches the Rfam family "Bacterial small subunit ribosomal RNA", at positions 30 to 507 of the family's 1533-position model. The record is from RNAcentral.